RNAcentral lists this ribosomal RNA (821 nucleotides) under Escherichia coli. Its description in RNAcentral is "partial 23S ribosomal RNA". It matches the Rfam family "Bacterial large subunit ribosomal RNA", at positions 2110 to 2925 of the family's 2925-position model. The record is from RNAcentral. Lineage: Bacteria; Pseudomonadati; Pseudomonadota; Gammaproteobacteria; Enterobacterales; Enterobacteriaceae.
CUUGACACUGAACAUUGAGCCUUGAUGUGUAGGAUAGGUGGGAGGCUUUGAAGUGUGGACGCCAGUCUGCAUGGAGCCGACCUUGAAAUACCACCCUUUAAUGUUUGAUGUUCUAACGUUGGCCCCUGAUCGGGGUUGCGGACAGUGUCUGGUGGGUAGUUUGACUGGGGCGGUCUCCUCCUAAAGAGUAACGGAGGAGCACGAAGGUUGGCUAAUCCUGGUCGGACAUCAGGAGGUUAGUGCAAUGGCAUAAGCCAGCUUGACUGCGAGCGUGACGGCGCGAGCAGGUGCGAAAGCAGGUCAUAGUGAUCCGGUGGUUCUGAAUGGAAGGGCCAUCGCUCAACGGAUAAAAGGUACUCCGGGGAUAACAGGCUGAUACCGCCCAAGAGUUCAUAUCGACGGCGGUGUUUGGCACCUCGAUGUCGGCUCAUCACAUCCUGGGGCUGAAGUAGGUCCCAAGGGUAUGGCUGUUCGCCAUUUAAAGUGGUACGCGAGCUGGGUUUAGAACGUCGUGAGACAGUUCGGUCCCUAUCUGCCGUGGGCGCUGGAGAACUGAGGGGGGCUGCUCCUAGUACGAGAGGACCGGAGUGGACGCAUCACUGGUGUUCGGGUUGUCAUGCCAAUGGCACUGCCCGGUAGCUAAAUGCGGAAGAGAUAAGUGCUGAAAGCAUCUAAGCACGAAACUUGCCCCGAGAUGAGUUCUCCCUGACUCCCUGAGAGUCCUGAAGGAACGUUGAAGACGACGACGUUGAUAGGCCGGGUGUGUAAGCGCAGCGAUGCGUUGAGCUAACCGGUACUAAUGAACCGUGAGGCUUAACCUU